RNAcentral lists this ribosomal RNA (253 nucleotides) under uncultured bacterium. RNAcentral's name for it is "partial 16S ribosomal RNA". It matches the Rfam family "Bacterial small subunit ribosomal RNA", at positions 524 to 776 of the family's 1533-position model. The record is from RNAcentral.
UACGUAGGGUGCGAGCGUUAAUCGGAAUUACUGGGCGUAAAGCGUGCGUAGGUGGUUCGUUAAGUCUGAUGUGAAAGCCCUGGGCUCAACCUGGGAAUGGCAUUGGAUACUGGCGACCUAGAGUAGGGUAGAGGGGUGUGGAAUUCCAGGUGUAGCGGUGAAAUGCGUAGAUAUCUGGAGGAACAUCAGUGGCGAAGGCGACACCCUGGACUCAUACUGACACUGAGGUGCGAAAGCGUGGGGAGCAAACAGG